Pelobates cultripes (western spadefoot toad) is the source of this 222-nucleotide non-coding RNA. NCBI's taxonomy places the organism in Eukaryota, Metazoa, Chordata, Amphibia, Anura, Pelobatidae. The record is from the annotation of a GenBank genome assembly.
AACCGUGUCAUUUUCUCAUCAUUUCUAAAUACAGCUGUUCUGCGGAGAAUAGAAAAAUCAAUACGGUACAUGGAGCUCACCUGUUUUUUGGUUCUGGACCACAGGUUCUCACACGCUCUCUAACUUCUAAAAUUCAUCUAUGAUUUGGGAAAAUCCUAUCAGAAAUAAAGCUAUUAACUAUUGUGCCUAUGGUUCCUAAAAUUGCACUGAUCUGGACUUAAG